UAUCUUCGGAUAGAGAGACCGGCGCACGGGUGCGUAACGCGUAUGCAAUCUACCUUUUACAGAGGGAUAGCCCAGAGAAAUUUGGAUUAAUACCUCAUAGUAUGCAGAGUUGGCAUCAACACUGCAUUAAAGUCACAACGGUAAAAGAUGAGCAUGCGUCCCAUUAGCUAGUUGGUAAGGUAACGGCUUACCAAGGCUACGAUGGGUAGGGGUCCUGAGAGGGAGAUCCCCCACACUGGUACUGAGACACGGACCAGACUCCUACGGGAGGCAGCAGUGAGGAAUAUUGGACAAUGGGCGCAAGCCUGAUCCAGCCAUGCCGCGUGCAGGAUGACGGUCCUAUGGAUUGUAAACUGCUUUUGCACAGGAAGAAACAACGCUACGUGUAGCGUCUUGACGGUACUGUGAGAAUAAGGAUCGGCUAACUCCGUGCCAGCAGCCGCGGUAAUACGGAGGAUCCAAGCGUUAUCCGGAAUCAUUGGGUUUAAAGGGUCCGUAGGCGGUUAGUAAGUCAGUGGUGAAAGCCCAUCGCUCAACGGUGGAACGGCCAUUGAUACUGCUAGACUUGAAUUAUUAGGAAGUAACUAGAAUAUGUAGUGUAGCGGUGAAAUGCUUAGAGAUUACAUGGAAUACCAAUUGCGAAGGCAGGUUACUACUAAUGGAUUGACGCUGAUGGACGAAAGCGUGGGUAGCGAACAGGAUUAGAUACCCUGGUAGUCCACGCCGUAAACGAUGGAUACUAGCUGUUGGGAGCGAUCUCAGUGGCUAAGCGAAAGUGAUAAGUAUCCCACCUGGGGAGUACGUUCGCAAGAAUGAAACU
This 820-nucleotide ribosomal RNA is filed under the name uncultured bacterium. RNAcentral describes it as "bacterial SSU rRNA". It matches the Rfam family "Bacterial small subunit ribosomal RNA", at positions 75 to 901 of the family's 1533-position model. The record is from RNAcentral.